AGAGUAAAGAUUACAAACCGGCGAAUCCCUUGUAAAUUAGUUGAAGGCGUGGUAUAAGAAAGAAAACCAGAUCUAUAAUUCCAUAGUUGAAUUCCGUGUGUACACUUCUCCGGCCACCGACAAUCAAUCGUUUGCUUCUCGAUAAUUGGUGAGAUAUGGACAAAUCUUGCUCUCUGCUUGUUUAUUUUGAUAAAGGGACGCCUGCUCUUGCUAAUGAAAUCAAGGAAGCUCUAGAAGGGCAUGAUGUGGAAGCAAAAGUUGACGCGAUGAAGAAAGCUAUUAUGCUUUUGCUCAACGGAGAAACGCUGCCACAGCUUUUUAUAACAAUUGUUAGAUAUGUUUUACCUUCUGAGGAUCACACAGUUCAGAAACUACUGCUUCUUUAUCUUGAAAUCAUUGACAAGACUGAUGCCAAAGGCCGUGUCCUGCCUGAAAUGAUUUUGAUUUGCCAAAAUCUGAGGAAUAAUUUGCAGCAUCCAAAUGAGUACAUACGGGGUGUCACUUUGAGGUUUCUUUGUCGCUUGAAUGAGGCCGAGAUUAUUGAGCCUUUGAUUCCGUCUGUUUUAGCUAAUCUGGAGCAUCGACACCAGUUUAUUCGGAGGAAUGCAAUUCUUGCAGUAAUGGCCAUUUACAAACUUCCACAGGGUGAACAGCUCCUAGUUGAUGCUCCAGAAAUGAUUGAGAAGGUUUUGUCAACCGAGCAGGACCAAUCAGCCAAGAGGAAUGCAUUUCUUAUGCUUUUUAAUUGUGCACAGGAUCGUGCCAUUAAUUAUCUUCUGACCCAUGUCGAUAAAGUAUCUGACUGGGGGGAGCUGCUACAGAUGGUUGUGUUGGAACUUAUUCGGAAAGUAUGCAGAACAAAUAAGGGAGAGAAAGGAAGGUAUAUAAAGAUCAUUAUAUCUCUACUCAGUGUUCCUUCUGCUGCUGUUAUAUAUGAAUGCGCUGGAACACUUGUGUCUUUGUCAUCUGCACCUACAGCAAUCAGGGCUGCCGCCAAUACCUAUUGCCAACUUCUUUUGUCUCAGAGUGACAACAAUGUCAAACUUAUAGUGCUUGAUCGCCUUAAUGAACUUAAAUCUUCUCACAGAGAGAUUAUGGUUGAAUUGGUUAUGGAUGUGCUUAGAGCACUCUCUAGUCCAAACCCUGACAUUCGAAGAAAAACACUUGAUAUUGUUCUUGAAUUAAUUACUCCUAGAAAUAUCAAUGAGGUUGUUCUCACUUUGAAGAAGGAAGUCAUGAAAACUCAAGGUGGGGAUCUUGAGAAGAAUGGGGAGUCCCGCCAAAUGCUUAUUCAAGCCAUUCAUUGUUGUGCAAUAAAGUUUCCAGAAGUGGCAAGCACUGUUGUUCAUCUACUGAUGGACUUCUUGGGAGACAGCAACGUUGCUUCUGCUAUGGAUGUUGCUGUUUUUGUGCGAGAAAUAAUCGAAACCAAUCCCAAAUUGAGGGUUUCUAUCAUAACAAGGUUGUUGGACACUUUCUACCAGAUUCGAGCUGCAAGAGUUUGUUCUUGUGCUCUUUGGAUCAUCGGAGAGUACUGCCUUUCGCUGUCUGAAGUUGAGAGUGGCCUAGCAACCAUUAAGCAAUGCCUUGGGGAUCUUCCUUUCUAUGUGGCAUCAGAAGAAGGAGAGACUGCUGAUACUUCACAGAAAUCACAGCAAGUAAGCUCUGUCACUGUUUCAUCAAAAAGACCAGCCAUACUUGCUGAUGGUACUUAUGCGACACAGAGUGCAGCCUCUGAAACUGCAACCGCUGCUCCUACUGUUGUUCAAGGAUCUUUAAGCACCGGAAAUCUGAGAUCUCUUAUUCUUACUGGUGAUUUUUUUCUCGGGGCAGUUGUGGCUUGCACAUUAACUAAACUUAUCCUCAGGCUAGAAGAGGUUCAACCAUCCAAAGUUGAAGUGAAUAAAGCAUCGACUCAAGCAUUAUUGAUCAUCGUGUCUAUGCUGCAACUAGGACGAUCUUCAUUUCUCUCUCACCCAAUUGAUAAUGAUUCAAAUGACAGAAUUAUUCUCUGCAUAAGAUUGCUAUGCAACACAGGGGAUGAAAUCAGGAAAAUUUGGUUACAGUCUUGUCGUGAAAGUUUCGUUAAGAUGCUUUCAGAUAAACAGCUUCGUGAAACGGAAGAGAUUAAAGCAAAGGCCCAAGUUUCUUAUGCACAACCAGAUGACCUUAUUGAUUUUUACCAUCUGAAGAGUAGGAAGGGUAUGAGCCAGCUUGAAUUGGAAGAUGAGGUUCAAGAUGAUCUGAAGCGCGCUACUGGUGAAUUUGUAAAUGAUGGAGAUGAUGCUAACAAGCUGAACCGUAUAAUUCAACUCACUGGAUUUAGUGACCCCGUAUAUGCUGAGGCCUAUGUGACAGUUCAUCACUAUGAUAUUGUUCUUGAUGUUACUAUUAUAAAUCGUACCAAGGAGACCCUACAAAACUUGUGCUUGGAAUUGGCAACCAUGGGUGACCUUAAACUUGUUGAGCGUCCUCAGAAUUAUACUCUAGCUCCUGAAUCAAGCAAACAAAUUAAAGCAAAUAUUAAGGUGUCCUCUACUGAGACUGGAGUCAUAUUUGGGAACAUUGUUUAUGAAACUUCAAAUGUGCUUGAACGGUCUGUGGUUGUCCUAAAUGAUAUCCACAUUGAUAUUAUGGAUUACAUCUCUCCUGCAGUAUGUAGUGAUGCUGCCUUUAGAACUAUGUGGGCAGAGUUUGAGUGGGAAAACAAGGUCGCUGUCAACACUGUUAUUCAAAAGGAGAAAGAUUUUCUUGAUCACAUUAUUAAGGCAACCAACAUGAAGUGCCUUACUGGACCGUCUGCUCUGGAAGGUGAAUGUGGAUUUCUAGCUGCAAACUUGUAUGCUAAGAGUGUGUUUGGGGAGGAUGCUCUGGUAAAUUUGAGCAUUGAAAAACAAGGCGAUGGUAAUUUAAGCGGAUAUAUACGGAUUAGAAGCAAGACUCAGGGAAUUGCUCUAAGUUUGGGGGACAAGAUCACCCUUAAGCAGAAGGGUGGAAGCUGAUCUGGUUCAUUUAUGAGAUCUAAUCAUAUCUGGAUUCCCUUAUAUCUGUUAUUUCUUAUUCUCUGGCCAUGGUGGAUGUGUGCUACUUUUGAAAAUCGAUAUAUUGUACCAGGCUCUUUCAAAAUACCUUCACACCUUCAGAAUGAUCUUCCAAAUUAAGAUUGAGGACGAAAUGGAGAUUUGUUGUUACUUUGCUUACAACUUGAGAUGCUCGGGAUACAGGCACCCGCAGGAACUAAUUUUUUGCAGAGAAGAUUUUUAAAUUAUAGCAUAUUCGUUGUAGCUGAAGUUGUUCGAGGGCAGUAGUGUCUUCUCCAUAAUGUUAGAAGAUGGGCUUGGACAAUUUUAAUCUCUGUUACUGAUGAUAUUUGUAAUAUUUUUUCUGAUUAGACUAGACAACAACUCUUAAAUGUUUUAUGAAUGUUUCAAUUUACUAUA
RNA transcript from Daucus carota subsp. sativus, 3440 nucleotides. It is a transcript of the gene named coatomer subunit beta-1, with no coding region annotated. The record is from RefSeq and is a predicted model, not a curated record. Lineage: Eukaryota; Viridiplantae; Streptophyta; Magnoliopsida; Apiales; Apiaceae. The transcript is spliced from 7 exons.